AAGACCGCUCUGUCUGGGGAACAUGGCCGCCGGAGCAAAGCUAAGAGAAGGAGGCAGGAGAGAGCAGACUCCCCUGGACCCAGCUGUGUCUCCAUGAAGAGCGACUGGUCUAUGGAUAUACCUCCUCAGCUUAAAGAUGGACGGCCCUCCAGAGAGGAGAGACACCAGGAGAGGUCAGAGGUCACC
This is a long non-coding RNA of Gadus morhua (Atlantic cod), 186 nucleotides long. RefSeq lists it as uncharacterized. Lineage: Eukaryota; Metazoa; Chordata; Actinopteri; Gadiformes; Gadidae. The transcript is spliced from 3 exons. The record is from RefSeq and is a predicted model, not a curated record.